AUUGAACGCUGGCGGCAGGCCUAACACAUGCAAGUCGAGCGGAUGAAGGGAGCUUGCUCCUGGAUUCAGCGGCGGACGGGUGAGUAAUGCCUAGGAAUCUGCCUGGUAGUGGGGGAUAACGUCCGGAAACGGGCGCUAAUACCGCAUACGUCCUGAGGGAGAAAGUGGGGGAUCUUCGGACCUCACGCUGUCAGAUGAGCCUAGGUCGGAUUAGCUAGUUGGUGGGGUAAAGGCCUACCAAGGCGACGAUCCGUAACUGGUCUGAGAGGAUGAUCAGUCACACUGGAACUGAGACACGGUCCAGACUCCCACGGGAGGCAGCAGUGGGGAAUAUUGGACAAUGGGCGAAAGCCUGAUCCAGCCAUGCCGCGUGUGUGAAGAAGGUCUUCGGAUUGUAAAGCACUUUAAGUUGGGAGGAAGGGCAGUAAGUUAAUACCUUGCUGUUUUGACGUUACCAACAGAAUAAGCACCGGCUAACUUCGUG
RNAcentral lists this ribosomal RNA (484 nucleotides) under uncultured bacterium. Its description in RNAcentral is "partial 16S ribosomal RNA". It matches the Rfam family "Bacterial small subunit ribosomal RNA", at positions 30 to 507 of the family's 1533-position model. The record is from RNAcentral.